CUUGUUUCUUGCUCAAGGUUAGUAAAAUUAAAUAUUAAAUUAAGAUAAUAAAUUGGAAGCUCAUAUCACAGAUAUCAGAUAACGAGAAAUUAAAUUAUAUAUUAAUUACACAGACAGACGAGUUAUGGUACCAAGCGAUAAAUGGAGAGAUUUUGAAAAUUAUAUGAUAAUUAUACUCCAUCAAAUUCAUGUGUCUUUAGAAUAUGAUACUAAGAACAUAAAAAUUAUAAAUAGAGUUAUAAAAUAAUCGAGAAAUCGGUGAAAUUAAGUUUACGAUAUUGGAACACAUUUUUGUCCGAGCAGGGACGGACCGAUAUCACUUGAGAUUUCACUGCUGAAUCAAGAAUAUGUCAUUCGAUUUAUACCACAAAUUUGUACAAUAAAAGAAAACUGUUUCUACCACGGUUUAGUAUUCUAGUAAAUCUCACACACAAAUACGCUUUAAAAAAGUCGAUGUUUCUAAACAAUCUCUACGCAAAUGAAUCAGUAAUCUUUAGCAAUAAAUCUUAAAUAUCGCUAAGCUAUCGAAAAUUCGUACAAUAUUAUAUUUUUCGCGAAAAAUGCAAGCGUUCAACAAACAAUCGUUUAAUGCAAAGCACAAAUUUUUCAAAUAAAAAUCUAUUAUUUUUUCCAAAAUUGACCACCAUGAUUAAUUCGAAAUAUUCUCAACUAUUACGAAUAUAACUGUUACGCAUAUUAUAUUUUUCAAGUAGAAAAAAAUCAAUAUGCCUAAGUAACGCACGCGUCUACCAAACAAUCGUUACGAAACGCGUGUACAAAGGUCUUUGCUCCUCCGGUCAGUACACAGGCUCGCGAGCAGCGAGAUAGGCCAGACAGUUUCAUGGCAAAAUAAGAGGACGCGCCUUCAUUGGCUUUAAUGGGAUGGCAAAUAGGCGGGCAGGAAAUUUGCGCUUUUGAAGGCACCUUCGUGCGCACGAGAUAGCACCGCGCAAGAGGGCACGCAGGAAAUUCUAAGCAAGAUGGCCGCGACGAGAUUCCACUGAUUCAAUAGAAACUAUUUGCACUGCCAUUAGACGGUCCGUUGGUGUUGGUUGGGCGCCGUGGCCUGUAAACACGGCCACACAAGAAUCGAAACGAACUUCGCGCCAGAGAGAGAUAAGGAGACAGGCAAAAUAUUGUCGAACCUUGGUAAGUAGAAUUUAAAAAUCUUCGAGUUACGGAGGUUCUAUCUUAUCAAGCUUCUCUGAUAAUACAAAAUUUCAACGUUUCGGAAGUCAAAAUGAUCAACUUCACUGUUUAUUAGUUCCUUACUCUCCUCGUAUGGACGUAAGUGUACCAUAUUCAAUGUUAGAGAAAUAAAUGAUUUGCUUCCAUAAGGGUAUUCAUCGAAGAUAGAGUUAGAGCGUUGUACAAACUUUAACAUGCAGAGAUAAAUCGCGGCUCGCGGAGAUUCGAUUUUUCUUUUUAAGUUCGAAUUAAACAGGUAAAAUAACAUAUCUAAUCACGUAGCAAAUUAUUCAAUGUAAAGUAACUUUAUAUUUCGAUUUAUAGAAGUUUUCACAGCGGGAUGAAAGAGAACGAAGAAACUUGCAGAGGUUUUCGAGUUACCGAGGUUCGACUAUACAGCAAACAGGACAAGAGAGAGAGAAAGAGAGAGAGAGAGAGAGAGGAGUAAAAAAAAGAAGAAAAAGAAAAAAAGGAACGAGUGGCGUACUUAAUGGCUUACACUGUUGCAAGAAGAACUCUAAAUUAUCGUUGCAACAGGCGUUUCAUUACAAUUGCUAAUAAAUGGCACGCGGCGAUGGUCGUGCGGGUUUAUGCGCUUAUGUGCUCAUAAGCGCAUGCAUGCCCCGCUGAAAAGACACCGGCGAUGUCUUUAUUUCAUUUAAAGGCCACGCGAGCUUCCGAGUUUAUGAGAAUAAAUUAUGCACACCUUCGGAGGGCCGUUGCUUGCCACCGCCAGGCGAGGCCUUUUGUCUCUCUUUCGCGUCGCGAGAAAAAAAAAACCACAUUCCGCGCGUGUCGCGACGCCACGCCGCGAGAAUAAAGGCCCUCGCUGUUUAACAGUUCGUCACAUUCGUAGCCGUGACUUAAUGUCGGACGCGGAGAUGCUUCGAACAGGAUUCGCCCUUUCAGGCGAGAAACUUUCUUCGUGCUUCGUUAAGAACAUCGCGAUAAUGAUGAAACAUCACUCGGUGUUUGGCUUGGAUUGCUUCGUCGACGUAUCCGGGUAAGUUUCGAGGCGCUGUUUAAACGUUCCGCUAUUUAGUUUAGAAUAUCGACAGUGGUUACUAUCUUUCAGUACCAAAUCUAGAAGAAACUUCGAGAAAGUCAAGUAUAUAAUUUGUAUCGAAUUUUGAUACAUUUGUUGUCCCCUUUUGUGGAUGAUAAUAUACUAAAAUACAAGAUAAGAGAUACGCUUGAAAAUUUUUAUUGGCAAUGACAUUUUGAUAACUCGAUAAUCUAAUUUAAAAUAUUGUCAAUAGCACUGUGUUGGAUAGCUGUACGAUCUAGGAAGUACAUUAAUGAAUAGAUUUUGAAAAAAUUCAUACUUUUCAUUGGUAGUAACUAUAUGUAUACUGAGAUACCAGGUGAAUUUUACAAACUUUAGUUGGAAAUGAAAUCUUGCCAAUACUUAUCGUGUUUUGGUAUAAGAUCAAGGAAGUAGAGGUUCCUUUGAUAGAGAAAUUUUAAGAAGUUUGAGUCAUUUGAACUGGAAUUUUUACAUAUUUUGUUGUUCCAGGGUAAUAAAUAUUCGUUUAAGUAUAAAAUAAAAUUUAUUUUUAAAAUCUUUCAUUAGGAAUAAAAUUUUAAUUUCUGGAAAAUCUCGAUUUGUAUGAUUCUCAUGAUUUGCAUGAUCAUUAAUAAGACCUUUCAACUGUAUUGAAUACUAUACAAGUUUUUAAUUAUUCAUAUUUUUAAAAUAAUUUUUAUGCGAAGUUCGAGAGAACAAUAAUUAUAAGUGAUUUUGAUAAAUGACUGUAUCAUUAGUUAUUUGGACGUCUAGAAUCUAGACACUAGUUAAUCAAGUCCUAAGAUCAAUAGACGUUGACGUAAUCAAAAAUUUCUAUCCUAAUGAUAGAAGUAUGGUGGAACAGACAUACUAUUACUAAUUUAUCGAAUGAAGUUAUUUCCCUCAGUUAUUCGCAUAAUCAGCACCUUGUGGCAAGAAAGCUAACGUUACGAGUAACUACCAGCUUCACUGACAUUUACGUAUUUAGUCUCUUUCCUUUCGAUCCUUUUAAAAAUUCGAUUGGAUUAACUUAUCAUAUCGUAAAGGAAAAGUGAUUCGACCUCAAAUAUUUGAUCUAUCGAUAAUCUAACAAAUGAUAAAUAAAUAUUAAUUAUGUUUAUAAGAAAGAAAUUAACAGUACACUUACAAAAUUUCUAACGCUUUAAAAAGAUUUCAUUUAAAGAUUUUUAGGCUUCAAGAUCCCAAAUAUCAAUUAUCGAUAAGUUAUUGGAGAAUUAACUUAGAUCAAAUGGAUAUCUUCAACAUAUAAUAAUUUCUAAGAUAUUUUUCUCAUCUUUUAUAGAGAAACACAAGAUGGAAGAUCAUCGAAAUUCUUUUAAACCUACGUAGGUAUACGUACUAUUUCUAUUUAUUUUUUUUAAACAAUCCUCAUUCGUUCCUCUACACUACCUUUACCGUACACAAUUCCUAUUCAUUUUUAUUUAAUUUCUUUUCUCAAAUCCUAGCCCUAAUUCUCUAAUCCAAAAAGAACCACAAUUGAACCAAGCUGCUACUUAAAUUUCUAAAAGCACAACGGAUCGCGUACCGAUCAUAUACAAUGGAUCCGUUCAAUUUCCGGCUUCCUCCUUGGUGGUGGCCGAAAUUGCAUUUCUCUCGAAGACGUCCCCGAACGUGUCUGCGUACGCCAUCUCUGUCACGCUGGGAGGCACAAUUUCCGCUCCACUUCCGGAAAUGGACCUAUUGUCCGAUGUAAUCGGAAGACAACAAUAUCGUGGACGAGCGUAUCUCUCCCUUCUCUAUCUACAGUCUACAUGCAGCCGUGAAUCCGCAGGCUUAUUCGCACACACACGCACCAGACUAAGCCUCGUAUGCAUAGAAAAUGACACUCGGUACCGCAAUACAGAGGGUGGAAGCCAUCGAUGAAUAAUUUCCACGCGACUUGCACGCUCCGGGCAAAUUGUUGAUGAAUUAAGAAAGGAAUGUAUGAAUGCUCGAUGCCUUAGGUUUUCUGCUCGAGAAACGUCAAAGAAGAUUCCGAGAGAAUGUUGCUUCAAUGAUUGCUAUUGUUUGAUUAAUAGACUGUGGAUUAUUAGGAGUUUGUGAUAAAUUUAAUGAAAUUGCAAAAAUCCAGAGUGCAUAUAACGUAGAAAAGUAUAUAAAGUAUACGUGUUAUACUGUGUGUAUACGUGAAUUCCGCUAUCUAAAUAAUAAUACUCUUAAAGAAAAACUUUUUGUAAAAAAUUAUAUGGAAGUAAAGAAUACUCUGUCAUUGAUAUCUGCAACGCAGUUGUUGAGGACAGAAUUCGACACAUUUUCUCUUCUUUACUGAUAACAUAAUUUUACAUAUGAUGCACAUGGAAUAGCUACAAUGGACUGAUAUCCUUACGAUCAAUUUUACGUUUGUACGAACUGAACACUUUAUUCUUACAACAACGUUACUUUUGUAGCAAAGGGAUGUUUCAACAUUCUAAGUAAAAUAAAUUCGAUCUUUAUACCAAUAUGUAAAUUAUUCUAGAAUGUUGUCGAGUAGCAUUACUUCCUAUCUACCAAGAUGUUAUCGAUCUAUAAUCUGUAUAAUUACGAUCUAUUUUGGUAUAUCGAUGUAACUAAAAGAAGCACGUCGGUUACAAUGAAGAAAAAGAAGCUUCGCGAUCACGAUGUACGAAGAAAGAAAGAGAACCGGUUAAAAUGCAAAAGGAACAUUCAUCGAAACCACUUUCAUCCGACGACGAUCAUCGGUUGACGAUCCCGAUAAUCUCAACGUGAUGGUACUUCGAUCAUAUGGACAAGGCGACGUUGUUAAAGCUCGUAAAUUCUGAGACAUCGAUUAUCAUCCUCUACGAACUAGACACGCGAUGUAUCUUUUACGAUCUACGAUAACUAUGUAUACUCGCAUGAUGCAAAUACAAGCGAGAUAUUAAAGUGACAGAAAGAUGCUCGUGACGAAGAUACCACCCAGUAGAGCAGACCAAUAGAAACGCACACGAUCGCGUUCAAGAGGAUCGAAAUUAUCCUUCUGGCGAUCCGCGUACUCUGAACAUGCACGUAUUAUGCGAAUAUCCUGUAUAUAGGGUGGAUCGAUAAGAGAUUACAACGAUUCAAAUAGCAAUUUCUUUUAUCAAAGAAUAAUGAAAAUAGGAUAGCAUAUGCAUUUUUUAAUCGCGUCUCGUCCUUUCGUUUAUAUUUUCGUCUCAAUUAUAUUUUUCUAACAUUAAGAAAUACCUUUAAUUCCAACAAAAUGGAUAAAUUAUUAUUGCGCCAUGCACAUUUUCGUUUCAAUUUUAUGUCAAACGUCUUUCUAAAGCAUCACAGAUACUUUUUAUUCGUUAACAUGAAAAUUGAAAUAUAAAAGUUCAAGGUUCGUAGCGAAAAUUAAGAUAGAGAAUGGAAAAAUUUACAACGAUACGUUGUCCUCGUCUUAAUACUCGUUUUCGUUAUUUUUUAACUAAUUUCGCGAAUUAAGUCAUUCACGCGGUUUUUACUCUCUAUUACAGGAAUCGUUUCAGUUACUCUCCUCACAUUACCUACUCGUCUUAUAUCGUAUUUCUUAUUUAAAUACUCUAUCUUAUACUAGUAGCGAUAGUAGAAUUAAAAACUUAUGGCAGUGCCUUAUAAUAACCUACGAAAAGACAAGUUCUAAUAAUAAAAAAUACAAAUGAAAUUACGACAACGUAAGUUUAAAGCGACGGUGAAACAGAUUAUUUUAUAUUCAUAAAGUCCCUAAAUGUUGAAAAAGAAAAGGGACAGAAAACGAUUAUUUGUAUCGUUAGAAAGGACAAAGAAUAAAUUCUCCUCUCACAUAAUUGUUAUUCAAUAUUAUAUUACCGCAAACUUUAUCUUUAAAUAUUAUCGAACGACGAAGUUUUGAAAUCACAGAAUCUCGAUUUCAGAUUAAAAUCACCGUAGAUCGAAUAAACGUAACGAAGAUAUAUAGGUGUUCUGUUCCUGUUGAAUUACCCUGUACAUGUAUACGUGCAUAAUGCACACGUAUUGCCGCGUAUUGUAUUCAUACAGUGUACGAACGGGAUACAAGGCCUCGUACGUGUUGGUACAAGCGCAUGGUGUACGGUUUGAUGCAUGCGAAUGCGUAUCCGGAUCAUGGGUAAAUUAGUGCGAGAAUUAGUGUGAGAAUUAGUGCGGUACGCGCACCGACGUAUACGCGUAGAGAGAUACGAACGGAGAGAGACAAGGAAAAAGAGAGAGAGAGAGAGAGAGAGAUCGGCUGGGUCGUUGCAUAACGUUAACCCCGCGUGUCGUGACUUGUAAAUGCGGUGUAAAGACUGACGUGAAUAUACGCACUAAUGGAGGCGUUGCGGGAGUUCGUAAUGGCCGCGUGGUGCGGUGCGGCGAGCGGGUUAAUGAAUUAAAGAAGAUAAGGGACGCGUGUUUCCGCGAGCAACGCCGCGCAUAAAUCCACCGGGAACGAUUCAGUUCGAGAUGUCCUCCAGGUGGAAGGUGGACGAACCCCUUUCGAAUCGAAUCGAUCGCCUCUCUCGUCGGCGAAAUUCAUGGAUAUCGCUUUGGACACACCUUUAACUUCGAACUGUCUGGUGUGAACAGAGUAGAUAGCGCACAGAGUGGAGCGCGCGUGCUCCUCGAAGCUGUCGUUCUACACGCUGGACGUAUAAUGUAACGAAUGGAGGAUAGAAAAGAAUAAAAGAAGGAAAAGAGAGUAUGAGCGAG
Long non-coding RNA from Bombus terrestris (buff-tailed bumblebee), 6838 nucleotides. RefSeq lists it as uncharacterized. Lineage: Eukaryota; Metazoa; Arthropoda; Insecta; Hymenoptera; Apidae. The record is from RefSeq and is a predicted model, not a curated record. The transcript has 2 exons.